CAGCUCACGGCAACACCUGAUCCUUAACCCACUGAGCGAGGUCAGGGAUCUGCAUCCUCAUAGAUGCCAGUCAGAUUCAUUUCUGCUAAGCCACAAUGGGAAGUCCCUAUUUUUGGUGUUUUAAAUGACUUCUCUUAUAAAAGGCAAUGCCUGCUUGUUCAGCAGAACUAAUACCUUCCCACUUUAGCUUUUACAGGGAACUCAAGACAAGUGAUGCAGAAAGGUCCGGGUCUGGCAGCCGGGCAUUCCUUCAGCACAAGACACAGACUACACUGUCACAACUGCCUCCCCAUCUCUGCAAAUCUCCAUCCCACUGUGUUUCCAAGGGGGAUUUCAAAAGGUACACGUCGGCACGCAUCUCCUUCUCCUCCCAUUGAGACCCAAACACAAGCCUACAUCUUGUAAAUACCCACUCUUCUACACCUCGCUUUGUUUGAUGGGCACAACUGGACUCGCGUCAUUCUUCAUGCUGUGGUGUACUGGCUCAGGAGGCCAAUCUGGUCUGCCGCUUCUUUCUGAAUGUGCACAGUUCAGUUCCAGCAUUUGCUAUGAAAUCAGACGUGCAGUUAGAGCUAAGG
Molecule: long non-coding RNA, 578 nt
Organism: Phacochoerus africanus (Common warthog)
Lineage: Eukaryota; Metazoa; Chordata; Mammalia; Artiodactyla; Suidae
Exons: 3
Source: RefSeq, a predicted model, not a curated record